UUUGCUCUAUUUCUGUAUAUAUAUAUUGCAAUAUGGUUUAUAGGUGGUCGUCAUCUCGUGCCUUUAUUUAUCUCAUCUCUUAAAAUAAAAAUCGGUAAAGAUAAUUUAAUCCUUACAAGGAAAGAGUUGGUCAUAUUCUUGUAAAAAAAAAAGAUAAAGAAAAAUAUAUACAUAAUUUAUUAAUAGUACAGUAGAAAUAUUUUGAAAAGUUACGCCCGUUUUUCUUUUCUUGAUACAUUAACUGAAACUAUGCAAAAAAUUGAAGUAAGAUUAAGCACUGAUUUGUUUACUUGUUUAAAAACUUCAAAAUGAGACAAGAGGGCAGAAGACUGACUUAAGUUUAAUCUUAAAAAAAAAACUCAAGUUUUGUCGUAGAAAUUUUGUUCCAUUUGUUUGUUACAUCGGUGCUCAUAUAUCAAAUAUUAAGCUGGCAAAUUAAAAUGCAAUAAUACUGUUCUUAAAAACUUGUAAGACAUAAAAUUAAUAUUAAUAAAUAAAGCAUAUUGAAUUUGUGUGUAAUGUUUUAUUGAAAGGAAACGGAGAUGGAUAUUAAAGUAAAUCUAGCAUGACGUAGUGACGUAAUUUGAACAUUGUCACCAAAAGAAAUAGAGCGCAUCUUUAGAUAAAAUGCCGACAGUUCGCACACUAAUACCACUCGGAUUACACGGGAAGAAUAACGAUAAUAAAUUUUUGUUACGAAAAUAUCCAGAAGUUAUUUUGUUGGUUGAAACUCCACCCCAUUUCCUGUCGAAAAUAUCCAUUUCCCGUCUGUUCUGGAAUUGGACAUAUCGCUCGGUGCAUAAGGUGAGAACUUUCUUUUUACUUUUCAUGGCGAUUGUCUACUAAAAAUUUCGUAUUACAGUGGACUCGCGUUUUUACGAACUUAUUUGGGCGUCCGUACCAGUUGGUAAAAUCGAGAGUCCAC
Molecule: long non-coding RNA, 925 nt
Filed under: Androctonus crassicauda
Lineage: Eukaryota; Metazoa; Arthropoda; Arachnida; Scorpiones; Buthidae
Source: RNAcentral